This 3297-nucleotide long non-coding RNA is filed under the name Homo sapiens (human). RNAcentral's name for it is "HSALNT0240236". The record is from RNAcentral. Lineage: Eukaryota; Metazoa; Chordata; Mammalia; Primates; Hominidae.
CGGAGGGCCUUUCUGGUGGGGGAUGAGGACCCUAGAUGGGGACACCCCUGCGCAUUCUUACGUGAUGUCAACGACCCCUGCGACACAAACCCUAUUGUCUCCACUCACCCCGGGUUGACCGGUGGGCCCUUAAGGCCGUGGGGGAAGUUGCUUGCUUGGCCCCAGAGGAGGUUGACCAGACUGACUAUGCAAGAGGAGUUGGAAAGUGAAGGGGAGGAGACUGGAUAACCGAUUGUGGGCAGUUUGUGUGCAUUUAGGCCCCGCUCCCCCAGUUUUCCUUUAAGUUUCCACAUACAGCAUUGGAUCUAGGUAAUUAUAUAAAUUACAUAUUUUAUUAUUUUAUUUAUUUCUGAGACAGUGUCGCUCUGUCGCGCAGGCUGCAGUGCAGUGGAGCGAUCUAGGCUCACUGCAGCCACCGCGUCCUGGGUUGAAGCCAUUCUCCUGCCUCAGCCCAGAGUAGCUGGGAGUACAGAUACACACAACCACACCCAGCUAAUUUUUUUUGUAGAGACGGAGGUGUUUUUUUUGUUUGUUUGUUUUUUGGGUUUUUUUUUUUUUUUUUUUUUUUGAGACAGAGUCUCGCUGUGUCGCCCAGGCUGGAGUGCAAUUGCGCGAUCUCGGCUCACUGCAACCUCCACCUCCCGGGUUCAAGUGAUUCUUCUGUCUCAGUCUCCCGAGUAGCUGGAGUUACAGGCACCUGCCACCACUCCCAGCUGAUUUUUUAAUUUUUUUUGAGACAGAGUCUCGCUCUGUUGCCCAGGCUGGAGUGCAGUGGUGCGAUCUCGGCUCACUGCAAGCUCCGCCUCCCGGGUUAACGCCAUUCUCCUGCCUCAGCCUCCCCAGUAGCUGGGACUACAGGCGCCCGCCACCACGCCCAGCCAAUAUUUUGUAUUUUGUUUAGUACAGACAGGGUUUCAUUGUGUUAGCUAGGAUGGUCUCGAUCUCUUGACCUCGUGAUCCGCCCGCCUUGGCGUCCCAAAGUGCUGGGAUUACAGGCAUGAGCCACCGCGCCUGGCCUAAUUUUUAUAUUUUUAGUAGAGACGGGGUUUCACCAUUCUGGCCGGGCUGGUCUUAAACUCCUGACCUCGUGAUCCGCCCAUCUCAGCCUCCCAAAGUGCUGGGAUUACAGGCGUGAGCCACCAUGCCCGGCCUUGUUUUUUUUUUGUUGUUGUUUUUUGUUUUUGUUUUUUCUUUGAGAUGGAGUUUCACUCUUCUUGCCCAGGCUGGAGUGCAAUGGCACGAUCUUGGCUCACUGCAACCUCUGCCUCCUGGGUUCAAGCGAUUCUCUUGCCUCAGCCUCCCAAGUAGCUGGGAUUACAGGCAUGUACCACCACAGCCAGCUGAUUUUGUACUGUUAGUACAGACAGGGUUUCACCAUGUUGAUCAGGCUGGUCUUGAACUCCUGACCUCAGGUGAUCUACCCGCCUCGACCUCCCAAAGUGCUGGGAUUACAGGCGUGAGCCACCACGGCCGUUGUUUUGUUUUUUGAGACAGAGUCUGGCUAUUGUCGCCCAGGCUGGAGUGCAAUGGUGCGAUUUUGGCUCACUGCAACCUCCACCUCCUGGGUUCAAGUGAUUCUCCUGCCUCAGCCUCCUGAGUAGCUGGGAUUACAGGCGCCCAUCACCACACCCAGCUAAUUUUUGUAUUUUUAGUAGAGACGCGUGUUUCGCCACAUUGGCCAGGUUGAUCUGGAACUCCUGACCUCAGGUAAUCCACCUGCCUUGGCCUCUCAAAGUGUUGGGAUUACAGCCGUGAGCCUCCGCACCCAGCCGAGAUGGAGGUUUUUUUAAUUUUUUUUGAGACGGAGUCUCACUCUGUCGCCCAGGAUGGAGUGCAGUGGCACGAUCUUGGUUCACUGAAAGCUCCGCCUCCCGGUUUCACGCCAUUCUCCUGCCUCAGUCUCCUGAAUAGCUGGGACUACAGGUGCCCGUCACCAUGCCUGGCUAAUUUUUUUUGUAUUUUUAGUAGAGACGGGGUUUCACCGUUAGCCAGGAUGGUCUUGAUCUCCUGACCUCAUGAUCUGCCUGCCUCGGCCUCCCAAAGUGCUGGGAUUACAGGCGUGAGCCACUGUAACUGGCCUGUUUUGUUUUUUUCAUAGAGACAGUCUUGCCCAGGCUGGAGUGCAGUAGUGUGAUCAUUGCUCACUGUAGCCUUGACCUCCUGGCCUCAAGUGAUCCUCCCACUUCAGCCUCCAGAGUAGCUGAGACUAAAGGUACACACCACCACACCCGGCCAAUUUUUGCGUGCCUGUAGCUAGACUUCAGAAUUGCUCAUCUCAGCCUCCAGAGUAGCCGGGAUAAUAGGCAUGCUCCACUAGGUCUUGUAGUGAAUUUACUAUUUUUUUAUAUUUACUACUAUUUUUAUUAUGAAAGUACAUGUAUUACUGUUCAAGUUGCAAGCUACUAUAAAUCAGAUCUGAUAUCUUGAAUCCAUUCUAUUAAAACUUUUACCUAGAAAGAACUUGCAGAAUAUAAACAGUGACAAAGGAAACAAUAUAUAUAUAUAUAUAUCUGGCCGGGCGCAGUGGCUCACACGUGUAAUCUCAGUACUUCGGGAGGCCGAGGGGGGCGGAUCACCUGAGGUCGGGAGGUGGAGACCAGCCUGACCAACAUGGAGAAACUCGGUCUCUACUAAAAAUACACAAUUAGCCAGGCGUGGUGGUGCAUGCCUGUAAUCCCAGCUACUCAGGAGGCUGAGGCAGAAGAAUCACUUGAACCCGGGAGGCGGAGGUUGCAGUGAGCCGAGAUCACACCAUUGCACUCCAGCCUGGGCACAAGAGCGAAACUCGGUCUCAAAAUAAAAAAAUGCUAAAAAAAAAAAAAAAAAAAAAAAAAAAAAAGAUACAAAAAUCAGCCUAGCGUGGUGGCGGGCACCUGUAGUCACAGGUACUCGGGAGGCUGAGGCAGGAGAAUCGCUAGAACCCAGGAGGCAGAGGUUGCAGUGAGCUGAGAUUGCACCACUGCACUCAAGCCUGGGCAACAAGAGCCCAGGAGUCUCUUGGAGCCCAGGAGUGAGAUGGAGUCUCCCUGGCUCACUGCAACUUCCGCCACUGCAACCCCUGCCUCUUGGGUUCAAGCAAUUCUCCUGCCUCAGCCUGCGGAGUAAUUGGGACUACAGGCACGCGUCACCACGCCCAGCUAAUUUUGUAUUUUUAGUAGAGACGAGAUUUCACCAUGUUGGCCAGGCUGGUCUUGAACUCCUCACCUCAGGUGAUCAGCCCAUCUCGGCCUCCCAAAGUGCUGGGAUUACAGGUGUGAGCCACCAUGCCCAGCUGACAAAGGAAAACAUUUAGUGAAG